CUGAAUCUGCUUCACUCUACUCCUGCAACAACUAUCAACACCCUGGUGAAUGGUUUGGAAUCGGUUCUUGAUGCUAUAAUCAUAAUCAUAGUUUCAAAUAAUUAUUCAAAUAUAAAACAUGUUAUUUCAUAACAUUUAUCAACAUUUUCUAAAUAUAUAUAUACAUAAAAAAAUAUUUUUUUGAAACAAAAUAAAGAAAACAUCUUCACUUCAUCCUAGCAUAAAUACAAAUUUUAAUCAUAACAUAUAAUAAGUAACCGUCAACAUAGAUGAAAAAAACAACUCAACCAAGUUAGGUACAUUAUGAAUCGUAGCAUCAUAAUUUUAAAAUAAUCCAUAUGAUCGUUAUCGUCUUCAUAAUGCUAAUUCUUAUACUUAUUCGUAACCUUAUCCAGGUAUCUUAUUCUUAUGGGGCGUCCCCCAACUCAACUAAUUAGCCCUACCGUCCAUUCUAAGAUUUGUAAAUGUCCCGGAGUACGUAUCCAUCAGACAAUAAUUCAUAAGGGCAAAACUAGCCCGAUUCGUACAGGCACUAUCGAUCCAAUUCAUAAUUUGUAAGGGCAACUGCGGGCCGAGUCAUAUGGGCGAUAGUCUAGAUAGUGAAUCCAUAUUUUAAUCUACCUAUUAUUUUUCUAGGUGAGGUGUUCUCUCAUGUUGACCCAUCAUCUAAUCUUAUCAUAAUCUAACAUUAUCGUAAUCUAAAAUACAUGUCAUCUAAGCAGCAUGAUUAAAAUAACNNNNNNNNNNNNNNNNNNAUAAAUAGCCGCAAUACAAUUCAAAACAUAUAGGAAUUACUGAAUUACAAUUUAUAAAUCAUAAAACAUAAAUUAUAAACAUAAAUCAUAAAUCAUAAAAUAUAAACCCUAAAUCACAAAUCAUAAAAUAUGAAUCAUAAAUCAUGAAUCAUAAUCAUAAAUUAUAAAACAUAAACCAUAAAUCAUAAAUCACAGAUCAUAAAACAUGAAUCAUAAAUUAUGUAAAUCAGUCAAUUUAAUAAAACAUAACCUAAGCAACGUACAAAAUUUACCCUCUUAAAUCAACCCACCUUUUAAACCAAACGGUAAAAGUCCAACACGAGAAAUCAAUGUCUUCGUCUAUAAAUUUUGAUUUGUCCCUCGGAAUUAGGAGCAAUUAAAAUUCUCUUAUUUAGAUUAGAUGAACUUUAGGUAUUUUUUUGAAUGAAUGAUUUGACGACUUUUGUCGAUUUAUACGAGUUGGAUGAAUUUCAGUAUAUGUUUGAUUUCGAUUUUAAUUUAUUCUAGCCUUAAAGAUGAGAAUAUGAUGCUCUGUAACCUGACUCCUUCGAACGUUCUUCGUUCUCAGUAGAAAAUUUCUAAUAUCAGGAUUCAGAAUCAUCACACAGAGCGUUUUUUGAAAGAUAUUUUCAACAUCUUAAUAAGCAUUUAAAAAUGAAGAUCUGGUAACGUACUACGCAUCCUCCAAGCACGUAGUAUCCAAUCCGAAUUCACAAAGUGCCAUAAACAAUCAGUGGCAUUUCAUAGCUGAUACUGUACAUUUUCAACAGCCUGAUUUCAGUUCGUUAACAUAUAUUACCAGAUUGAGCCGAGUCUGCGUUAGCAUUGUCCAGUGACAUAGGAUCCGUGGAUGAUUUCUGUGAACCUUCGCUUCCCGCUUCCAUAACUAGCUUUGGCUUUUCUCACCUGCUAACCAAAACCUGGAGAAGGAAUAACAUCGCCAGAUUAGAGAAACGAUAGAGUUCCGUCGAUCAUUUGCUGCCCACCGAGAGCGAUAAACAAACUCACCGGAGCUGCAGACGAGACCGAUCGAUUAAAGCAACGAACACAGUGAAGAACACUAGGGUUUCCUUUUCAGCGUUAUAAAGAAGAGUGUUCAGUAAUAUUGAGCAGGGAAGAAGAAUGGCGGGAUUUCGAUCUUUGCAGGAGUAACCGAAAAUACCCUUCCGGGAUUUGGGGUUUUGAACUUUUUGGAUUCACUUUUUCUACCGUAGCUGGAAAUCUUAAC
This 1983-nucleotide long non-coding RNA is filed under the name Linum usitatissimum (flax). RNAcentral describes it as "long non-coding RNA (LUSI_LNC007950)". The record is from RNAcentral. Lineage: Eukaryota; Viridiplantae; Streptophyta; Magnoliopsida; Malpighiales; Linaceae.